Molecule: ribosomal RNA, 1464 nt
Filed under: uncultured Bordetella sp.
Lineage: Bacteria; Pseudomonadati; Pseudomonadota; Betaproteobacteria; Burkholderiales; Alcaligenaceae
Description: partial 16S-23S ribosomal RNA intergenic spacer
Rfam family: Bacterial small subunit ribosomal RNA
Source: RNAcentral
UUCGUCAUGGCUCAGAUUGAACGCUGGCAGGAUGCUUUACACAUGCAAGUCGAACAGCGGCUGGACUUCGGUCUGGUGGCGGUGGCGAACGGGUGAGUAAUGUAUCGGAACGUGCCUAGUAGCGGGGGAUAACUACGCGAAAGCGCGCGCAUUCACACGCGCAUACGCCCUUCGAGGGGAAAGCAGGACCUUCGGGCUCGCACUAUUAGAGCGGCCGAUAUCGGAUUACGUAGUUGGUGGGGUAACGGCUCACCAAAGGCGACGAUCGUAGCUGGUUUGAGAGGACGACCAACCACACUGGGACUGAGACACGGCCAGACUCCUACGGGAAGCAGCAGUGGGGAAUUUUGGACAAUGGAAACCCUGAUCCAGCCAUCCCGCGUGUGCGAUGAAGGCCUUCGGGUUGUAAAGCACUUUUGGCAGGGAAAGAAACGGCACGGGAUAAUACCCCGUGCAGCAGCCAGUACCUACAGGAAUAAGCACUAUUCACUACGUGCCAGCAGCCGCGAUGACCACGUAGGGUGCAAGCGUUAAUCGGAAUUACUGAGCGCGUAAAGCGUGCGCAGGCGGUUCGGAAAGAAGAUGUAGAAAUCCCAGAGCUUAACUUUGGAACUGCAUUUUUAACUACCGGCUAGAGUGUGUGUCGGAGAAUUCCGCGUGUAGCAGUGAAGUAGAUAUGCGGAGGAACACCGAUGGCGAACAGCCUCCUGGGAUAACACUGACUCAUGCACGAAAGCGUGGGGAGCAAACAGGAUUAGAUACCCUGGUAGUCCACGCCCUAAACGAUGUCAACUAGCUGUUGCAGGGCCUUCGGAGCCUUGGUAGCUGGCUAACGCGUGAAGUUGACCGCCUGGGGAAGUACGGUCACAAGAUUAAAACUCAAGGAAUUGACGGGAUUGCCUGAAGCGGUGGAUGGUAUGGAUUAAUUCGAUGCAACGCGAAGAGCACUACACCCGGCAUGUCACAGUCCAGAGAUUUGGGAGUGCUCGCAGAGAACCGGAACACGGUGCUGCGCUGGCUGGCGUCCGGCUCGUGUCGUGAGAUGUUGGGUUAAGUCCCGCAACAGCGAGCGCAACCCUUCUCAUUAGUUACCACGAAAGGGCACUCUAAUGAGACUGCCGGUGACAAACCGGAGGAGGUGGGGAUGACGUCAGGAUCCUCAUGGCCCCUAUGGGUAGGGCUUCACACGUCAUACAAUGGUCGGGGCAGGAGGGUCGCCAACCCGCGAGGGGGAGCCAAUCCCAAGAGCCCCGAUCCGUGAUCCGGAUCGCAGUCUGCAACUCGACUGCGUGGGAGUCGGAAUCGCUAGUAAUCGCGGAUCAAUAUCGCGGUGAAUACGUUCGGGUCUUCAUACACCGCCCGUCACACCAUGGGAGUGGGUUUUGCAGGAAGUAGUUAGCUAUUGUGGGAGGGGCGAUUACCACGGUAGGAUUCAUGACUGGGGGUGAAGUCGUAACAAGGUAG